UGAUGUUGGUUCAAGGGAUACAAGAACGUGUAAGCCUGGGCUGGUGUUCAACCAGCCAAGAGCACAACAGAGGACUCGCUUGCCUCCUUGUGGCAAGCCCUGAGCAGAGAAUGAAUGCUCGAAGCACACCCGGGUCUUUCGAAGCAAAUGAGUUUAACCAACCGACGGCACUUUGAGUUUAUACAGGAGCUGCGAAACGGCUGUGCAUGUAGAAGGAUCUGUAAAUGUGUACACUACACGGAGAAAAGGAAAAGUUUAGGCGUUUUGCUGUUGUAAAUUUGUAAUCAUGACAGUGUUAUCAGCUAAUGUUAUACUAAAAGCAUAGUUGAAUUGAACUGUGCAGUCUAUGCUUCCACAUUUGAAGUUUUAUAAGAGGAGAGGCUGCCCCUAUUGUGGCUUUCAUCUCAACCACGCUGCCAUGUUUACUUGUGAUUGUUGCGUAGCCUUACUGCUUCUCC
Molecule: long non-coding RNA, 458 nt
Filed under: Eucalyptus grandis
Lineage: Eukaryota; Viridiplantae; Streptophyta; Magnoliopsida; Myrtales; Myrtaceae
Description: long non-coding RNA (EGRA_LNC007977)
Source: RNAcentral